Molecule: long non-coding RNA, 4263 nt
Organism: Heterocephalus glaber (naked mole-rat)
Lineage: Eukaryota; Metazoa; Chordata; Mammalia; Rodentia; Bathyergidae
Source: Ensembl
GUAAGUAUCCGUUUGUGUAUGUCAUUACCAGCCAGGUUUCUGUUUUUGUUUUUUAAACUAGUCUGUGCUUUCGUAUGUGCACACUUAAAUGAAGCCUUUAAAGGGAAAUCUGAGCAGAAUCUUCAGAGACUUAUAAUCAGACGGUUAUUUUUCUUUUCUCUUUCUUUCUUUCUUUCUUUCUUUCUUUCUUUCUUUCUUUCUUUCUUUGUGAGCAACCAUCUUCAACACACCUGAAAUCAGGACAGAAAAAUUUAAGGCCAAAGUCUACGGGAAGAUCCAAGAUCCUCUACCAUAGAGGAUACCCUGGUGUUUCAUGUCAGUUUAUCCAAGGCUUUGAGACCACCUAUUGGAGUCCCUGGCCAAGGGACCAGAGGAAGGGGAGGAGUGUUUCAGCAUUUCUGAAUGAGGGCAGCUGGACCUGCAAGUUGCUCCUUGGGGUUGGAAGACAUUUCAAGAUGAGGAAUGAGAUAUUUUUGGAUACUGUAUAAAUGCCAGAAAAGGUGGUGGGAAAGAUUUCUUCCCCCUACCUCUGCUCCUAUGCAAGUUGCUUCUGAGUACAAAGUUGGCAAUGGAUGGGCACCCUCACUCAUGAUUUUGUGACACUGGCAGUAGGCAGAUACCCGCAACCAACCGUUUCUCCUCAUCAUCAUUAUUACAGAGUAAAAGACAGUCAGGAACAUCUGGUUGCACAAGCCCACUGACCUCUGGCUACAGCGGAUUGGACAGGUGGCUCAAGAUGAAGCAAUCAAAAUUGCAGCCCUGGUAAUUUGGAAAUGCGACUGAAUGGACUGGCAUGAAAAGAGUCUGGUGAGAAGAGACAGAGUGGAGACUGAGCAACUGUGCAAAGAGAAAAUGUAACAUGAAAAGAGUGGGAAUGACUUUUCAGGCCCUGUUUGGUAUCUUCUUGUUGCCCAGCUGAUCUUUUAUCCUUAGAUCCAAGAAAAUUUCAGCUGCUUGCCCCCGAAAAGCCAACAUGGUGAAGAUUGAAGCCAGGGUGAAGCCAACAUGGUGAGGACACCACAGUCGGUUUUAUAAAAACAAAUUCACCAUAAAAAUGUUGUGUCUGCUUUAGCACAAACUGCUCUGUGGUUUGGUUUCAUGUGAUGAUAAAUGAUUUGCUCUUCAGCUAGAAACUGUGUGUAAAUGACAAGGUUUCCAGAAGAUGCAAACAGAGAAAAAGAAGUGAGAAACCCUCAUCUUUGUGGCAUCCUCUGAAAGGAGAGAGGGCUUGUGUGAUGGAAGGGCAAUUGCAGUGAGCAGAGGCACCCUGGCCAGGGACCCAUAGAAUAUAAAAUGACUGGUUGUGAGAUAUGAGUUCAGGAGCAGCAGAGUGAAUCUCCUCAGGUGAUGGAUCAUUAUGCUGAAAUCAAUCUUUACAGUGGAAGACAAAGUUAGCCAAAAUGAAAUAUUUCCUUGAACAAGAGGUUUAAAUUGUAGUAGGCCACUCUACGGAUAGUGACAAUCAAUAUCAACUUAGUUGAAGACCCUCUCAGCCAGACCUCAUUAAACCUGAUACCAAUGAGGGACUAAAGUCCAGUUGCCACGGAUGAGAGUUUAACGUUGCCACAAUCAUGCCAAAUCAAAUGUCCUUUAUCAGCAGAGGAAUGGGUUGAAAUAUGUAGGCUUCUCAGCAACGCAACCAGCUAUUAAGUAUCUCUCAAUGUGUCCACCAAGGUGUGAACAUCAAAAGCCCAGCAGGAGCUAUUUAUAUUUGAAGAUUAUUAGACAGUAGCUGCACAGAAGGCUUGCCUCAGAAAAUGCUGUCCCUGACCAGACAGUCCUAUGGUAAAACCCCGGAAACUACUGAGCCCUCCAGAGUCAUUUCCAUUUUUACAAGGAUCUGCAGCUCUGUGUGGAGCGUCGUCCUUCCCACCAUGUAGCCCUGGACAGAGUGGGAGGAAGAGUGGACCCCAAGGGCAGGGGAUAGGUGAACAUCACUUACUUUUGUGUCUGUCAACAGACCCACCUGCUAUUCCGUAACAACUGCUUUUCAAGUGAAGUGAAGCUAGUGUGUACAGUUCACACGUGCGUACUAAGACAUGUGCAAAAACAUCUGGGGAAGCUCAGCCUCAGCAAAAGCUAUGAGUCCGCUCUGGCAUCCUGGUCUUACUGGAAUAAUGGCCAUAAGUUUGUGCUGGGGUGAGUCUGCCAAAAGAGAGAGGUUAUAAGGCCUAGAGCACUGUUUUCCAAACUAAACUCAACAGGGUGUUAGUAUGUGUGAGGAGAUAAAAGGAUUACACAGGCAAUGUUGGUGAGAUAUUGAGCUAAACAAGUUAAAUGAACAAUUAAAGUGUAUGCAUGUGAUAUUCAUGAAUACAGUAUAUAUCUGUAGAUCUACACACACACAGUAUAAAGAGCAAUAGAGGGCCGGGGAUUUAGCUCAGUGGUUCCGCCGCCUGCCUCGCAAGCGCAAGGACCUGAGUUCGAUCCCUGGUCCCCCCCCCCAAAAAAAGAGCAAUAGAAAUCCACAUUAAUAAACACAUUACCAAUCUUAGCAAGCCUGCUGGUUGCUUCUUUCUGGAUUUAGCCUCCCAUUUCACCCCAAGGCGAGCAGUGAUUUGAAUUUUGUGUUUGAGUUUUACUUUUCAUUAAGGAUCUACUAUAUAUUUAUAUCUCCUUAGAUAAGAUAUUUUCAUUUUUAUAUCCUUUUGAAUUAACUUUAUAUAAACAUUCUUCUGCAAAAUUCUACAGUUGGUUCUAUGUUUCUGGGCCUUAUUUUUGUUGAUGCACUAGGUGUAGUCCAUUUUUACUGCUAUUAUCCAUUCUAUGAAUAUACCACCAUUCACUUAUCAUUUUCUUCUCUGAUGAUUAAUAUGUUGCUUACAGUGUUUUGCUAUUAUACACAAUGGAUUAUGAACUUUCUUGUACAUAACUUCUCUUUCUAUAGCACAUGUGUAAGAAUUUCUGUAGAGUAUGUAUCUAAGAGCAGAAUUAUUAAAUGUGAGGGGAGGCACAUCCUUAAUUUUAUAGAAGAAACCAAAUUGUGUUCCAAAGUGAUUCUUCCCAUUUUUAUUUAUUCCAGUGGGCCUUAAGAGUUCAGUGCUCCAUAUCCCCACCAACACAUGGUCAUGUCAGGCUUAAAUUGUUUGUCCAACUCUUUGUGAUUUUGAUCCUCAUUUCUCUUAUCAGUGAAUUUGAACAUCUUUCAUAUAUUUUUUGGCAUUUGAGUUUCCUCUUCUGGAAAAAAGAGAAAAUAGAAGGAAAAAGUAGAGUUUCCUCUUAUUGUAAAUAAUGUUCUUGUCCAAUUUCCAAUUGGGUUGCUAUCCUCUUCCUGAGUAAUUUUUAGAUGUUCUUUAUGCAUUCUUCAUUGUAAUUCUUAAAUUGUAUGUUUGUAGAAUUUCUUCUUCCAAUGGGUGAUUUGUAUUUUUACUUUCUUAGUGGUGUUCAUUCAUAAAGAGAAGUUUCACACUUCAAUAUAGAUGAAUUUGUCAGUCUUUUAUGUUAUGGUUGUGCGGUAUGGGUUCAAUUUAAGAAAUAUUCCCCUACCAGAGAUUACAAACAAAUUAUUCUAAAUGUUUUUGAAUUUUUCUUUUCACACUUAAGUCUCUAAUCAUUGUUUUUGUGAGUAGGUUUCUUUACCUUAUGCAUUGAUUAGCUUUCUCAUGGCUGAGAAAAAGGAGGAGAGAUUUAUUUUGGCUUACAGCUUCAGUGGGUUUGAUCCAUGACAGAAGAGAGAAAAGGAAGGAGCCAGGAACGAGGGUAUACCCUUUCAGAUCACACCUCCAGUAAACCACCUCUUCUAAACAGGCUUCAUUUCCUAUCAGCACAUUCAGCUGUGAACUCAUCAAUGAUUAAUCUACUGCUAAGUAUAGUGCUCUGUGACCCAAUCAUCUUUCAGAAUCCCCACCUCUGAAUAAAUGAGACUUUUGGGGAGCAUAUUAGAUCUAAACCAUAACACCUCAGAACCUCCCUCAGUUGUUUCUUUUUUUUUUGGUACCAGGGAUCGAACUUGGGACCUUGCGAUUGCAGGGCAGGCAGCGGAACAACUGAGCUAAGUCCCCGGCCCCCUCAGUUGUUAAUAUGCACUGUGGGCCUCUCUGAUGGCAGACAAAAGGCAGCAUUUUCCUGUUGUAUUUGGCCUUGGGUUUCUCUCUGAGAGGCAUCUGUAGAGAUACCUUGGAAACCACUUUUCUGUAUAGUGGAAUCUCACUUUAUCCUAUACCUAAAAGAGUUGCUGGGUCACUUCCUUGUGCUUUUUAAAAUUUAUUUAAAAAUGAAGACCUUAUUACCUUAAUACCUAAAGUAAAAUGUGGAAAAAUAAGC